GGUCAUUUGCUUAGCUUCGUGUGUGGUUCAGGCCCUGAUGAUGGUGCAGGAGUGAGGGCAGGAGCCAGCUACAAGGGUUAAGGAGAAGUAAGUGCACAGGGGUUAGCAGGGGGAAGUCCUUCCCAGAUAGGCUUCCUUACCCUGGGCCCCCAGACAGCCUUCAGGGCCCAGGAAAUGCCCACUGACAGUGCUGGCCCCUCGUGUGUGCUUUUCUGGGUGGCUGGUGCAGAGCUUUGACCAGCUCCCUAAAGGCACCUAACAGAAAGCUAAGCAGCGCUGCUGUGGAGGGGGUUCUCUGGGGAAGGCGUGGGCUAUGGCUGGGAGUGGAGCCCGCCAAAGCUUUGCUGUCAGGCAGAGCUGGACAACUGUGGCUGCCUGGCUGAGCCAAAGGAGGGGGCUCUGGUGAUUACCAGAAGAGGAGAGCCAAACUGGCUCACCAGUGUGAGUGUGGGGUGGGGGCCAGGCAGCACGAGCAGGAUCCCGUGCCCAGGAACUCGCAUGUGGGAAGGCCCCAGGGGCCUGAUUCCAGUCCUCCCUCAGCCCUGGAAAUCUGUCUGCACAGGCCUGCCCGGCCAGCUGGAUUCCAGGGCCCCCGUGCCUGCUCCCCACAGCUCAGUCACCAUUCAGCUCAAGCUCACGCUGCCAUGGAGCCCGAGGGGGCGACCAGCAGACCAGUGCGCGGACCCAAACUUGGCCUAGCCCUCCUGCACUGAGGAGAAAGUCCCGUCGACACUUCUCUACACAGAAGGCUCUGAUCACACCUGAAACCCUGUGUCAUCCGCGUGUGUUCCCUCGUUUGGGUCUUCUUCCUCAGAAGGAAGCUGUGCGGGCGCAGGAGGCAUCGGUCCUCGGACACCUGAGUGAGAGAUUCCAGAACGCAGGCCAGGAGGGCGAGCAGGCAGUGUUACAGGGGGGCGGGCGGAGGAGGGCAUGGAGGAGAAGACCCAGGGGCUAGGGACAGUGGCCCAUCCUGGAAGGACGGCUGUCAGGUGUGUGUGGGGCCGGGUGCGAGGCGGGAAGGGGAGCGUGAGGCCACGGAGGCCCCAGGGCAGGAGCCCAGAGAAGCACCCUCUGUGCUGUGCUUCCUGGGGAGCCGGCCUCCAUCCUGGGGGUCGUGGGGCCACGGGAUCUCUGUGCUCCCCACUCCAUCCCUGAACUCCUGGAGGGAGCCUGCUCCUCCUCUGAGCAUCCGCAGUCCCGGGGACUCGGCCUCUUUCUGAGCCGGCGCUCCUCACUCCCUCUCUCUCACUAAUUGCUCUGUUUUCCUUCCACUUCACAAGUGGGUUGGCUGGUAACACUGAAG
This 1303-nucleotide long non-coding RNA is filed under the name Equus caballus (horse). Its description in RNAcentral is "lncRNA (ENSECAG00000050743.1)". Lineage: Eukaryota; Metazoa; Chordata; Mammalia; Perissodactyla; Equidae. The record is from RNAcentral.